CUACGGGUCGCUCCAGUGGGGAAUAUUGGACAAUGGGGGAAACCCUGAUCCAGCAAUGCCGCGUGUGUGAAGAAGGCCUGCGGGUUGUAAAGCACUUUCGGUUGGGAGGACUGCUUCUAGCACUAAUAUUGUUGGAAGUUGACGUUACCUUCAGAAGAAGCACCGGCUAGCUCCGUGCCAGCAGCCGCGUGUAAUACGGAGGGUGCAAGCGUUAAUCGGAAUUACUGGGCGUAAAGCGCGCGUAGGCGGCUAGAUCAGUCGGGUGUGAAAGCCCCGGGCUUAACCUGGGAACUGCAUCCGAUACUGUCUAGCUUGAGUACAGGAGAGGAGAGUGGAAUUCCACAUGUAGCGGUGAAAUGCGUAGAUAUGUGGAGGAGCACCAAUGGCGAAGGCAGCUCUCUGGCCUGAUACUGACGCUGAGGUGCGAAAGCGUGGGGAGCAAACAGGAUUAGAUACCCGAGUAGUC
RNAcentral lists this ribosomal RNA (466 nucleotides) under uncultured bacterium. Its description in RNAcentral is "partial 16S ribosomal RNA". It matches the Rfam family "Bacterial small subunit ribosomal RNA", at positions 339 to 795 of the family's 1533-position model. The record is from RNAcentral.